Molecule: non-coding RNA, 935 nt
Organism: Paramuricea clavata
Lineage: Eukaryota; Metazoa; Cnidaria; Anthozoa; Malacalcyonacea; Plexauridae
Source: the annotation of a GenBank genome assembly
CCCCCCCCCCCUUGACUCACCUACGAGUCAAGCAUCGCCUUUGUUUUCCACCUUGCGUCUAUUGAAGCACUCCUUUUCUGUCGCCUCUCUGUACCUUCGACCUUUCCCUUAACCACAUCCAAAUUCACCUCACCAACUUCCUUGAUUUCAUCCCCUUUCUUAACCUCAACCGGGUACAAAUGCUGACAAGGCCUGCUUAAGAGUUGCCUUCGACCAUUUGUCAUCACAUACACCUUAGCACCACGUACAACUUUAUCCUUCCAAUAAAUCAACUCAUGCACAACACCUGUCUUCCACUCCCCCCCUUUUCUUUCCCUGCGCAAACACAAUGACCACAUCUCCAGGCUUCACAAUCACAGAUCCUUUCGCAGACACGCCAACCUUGUGGAACUCUCUUAGGUUUGUAAGAUAUUCCCGUUUCCACCUGUUCCAGAAGUGCUCCAAAAUGGUACUCAAAUAUUUGAAGCGUACAAUGCUAUUGCCCUUGGUAGAAUCCUGUCCUAACUCCCUAACAUCUACCUCAGUACUAUCUGGUAAUGUAGUAAUUUGUCUACCGUAAACUAAAUGUGAAGGUGUAAGCACCUCACUGCUUACCUCGUCAUAUUCGUAUGUCAGCGGUCUCGAGUUAGAUUAGCUUCGACUUCAACCUGAACUGUCCUCAAUUCAUCAAACGUGAGCCUUGAAUUUCCUAAAACUUUCCUUAAAGAAACUUUAACAAGACCUAUCAGUCUUUCAAAAACCCUCCCCACCAUGGGGCCCUUUCCAAAUUAAAUCUCCAAUCUACUCCCUUAUUGGUUAAACAAUUCUUAACUUCUUCGCUUCCAAAUAACUCGCGCAGUGCUUUCUUUGCAGCUUGAAAGGUUUUAGCAUUGUCCGAAAUCAUUAUUUUUGGUGUCCCUCUUCUCCCUACAAACCUUCUAAAACAACGUAGAAAU